AACCUCUGAGCUAAGCGGGC
RNAcentral lists this transfer RNA (20 nucleotides) under Biscutella laevigata. RNAcentral's name for it is "partial transfer RNA-Thr". Lineage: Eukaryota; Viridiplantae; Streptophyta; Magnoliopsida; Brassicales; Brassicaceae. RNAcentral also lists the same sequence under 1 other name. The record is from RNAcentral.